UAGGGAAUCUUCCGCAAUGGGCGAAAGCUUGACGGAGCAACGCCGCGCGAGUGAUGAAGGUCUUCGGAUCGUAAAACUCUGUUAUUAGGGAAGAACAAAUGUGUAAGUAACUAUGCACGUCUUGACGGUACCUAAUCAGAAAGCCACGGCUAACAACGUGCCAGCAGCCGCGGUAAUACGUAGGUGGCAAGCGUUAUCCGGAAUUAUUGGGCGUAAAGCGCGCGUAGGCGGUUUUUUAAGUCUGAUGUGAUAGCCCACGGCUCAACCGUGGAGGAUCAUUUGAAACUGAAAAACUUGAGUGCAUAAGAGGAAGGUGAAAUACCAUGUGUAGCGGUGAGAUGCGCAGAGAUAUGGGGAAACACCAGUGGCGUAGACGACUUUCUGGUCUGUAACUGACGCUGAUGUGCGAAAGCGUGGGGAUCAAACAGU
RNAcentral lists this ribosomal RNA (429 nucleotides) under Actinomycetes bacterium. Its description in RNAcentral is "Actinobacteria bacterium partial 16S ribosomal RNA". It matches the Rfam family "Bacterial small subunit ribosomal RNA", at positions 355 to 776 of the family's 1533-position model. The record is from RNAcentral. Lineage: Bacteria; Bacillati; Actinomycetota; Actinomycetes.